CGCGUAGGCGGUUUGGUCAGUCAGAUGUGAAAGCCCCGGGCUCAACCUGGGAACUGCAUUUGAUACUGCUAAGCUAGAGUAUGGUAGAGGCAAGUGGAAUUCCAGGUGUAGCGGUGAAAUGCGUAGAUAUCUGGAGGAACAUCAGUGGCGAAGGCGACUUGCUGGACCAAUACUGACGCUGAGGUGCGAAAGCGUGGGUAGCAAACAGGAUUAGAUACCCUGGUAGUCC
Molecule: ribosomal RNA, 229 nt
Filed under: uncultured bacterium
Lineage: Bacteria
Description: partial 16S ribosomal RNA
Rfam family: Bacterial small subunit ribosomal RNA
Source: RNAcentral